This 254-nucleotide ribosomal RNA is filed under the name uncultured bacterium. RNAcentral's name for it is "partial 16S ribosomal RNA". It matches the Rfam family "Bacterial small subunit ribosomal RNA", at positions 524 to 776 of the family's 1533-position model. The record is from RNAcentral.
UACGUAGGGACCAAGCGUUGUUCGGAAUUACUGGGCGUAAAGGGCGCGUAGGCGGCGGGGUCAGUCGGGUGUGAAAUCUUGGGGCUUAACCCCGAAACGGCACUCGAAACUGCCCGGCUGGAGGGCCGGAGAGGAGAUCGGAAUUCACGGUGUAGCAGUGAAAUGCGUAGAGAUCGUGAGGAAGACCCGUGGCGAAGGCGGAUCUCUGGACGGCUAACUGACGCUGAGGCGCGAAGGCCAGGGGAGCAAACGGG